UGCCCAGCAACUCCUCUCCCUGCCGCCGCGUGGUAUCGGCUGGAAACUACGAGCAACCUUAGGAAAGAUUGGGUAACCAACCCCGGUGGAAACUUUGUGUGUAGGCUGACAGGGAAGG
Molecule: non-coding RNA, 118 nt
Organism: Aedes albopictus (Asian tiger mosquito)
Lineage: Eukaryota; Metazoa; Arthropoda; Insecta; Diptera; Culicidae
Source: Rfam